Molecule: ribosomal RNA, 549 nt
Filed under: uncultured bacterium
Lineage: Bacteria
Description: bacterial SSU rRNA
Rfam family: Bacterial small subunit ribosomal RNA
Source: RNAcentral
UAGGGAAUCCUCGGCAAUGGGGGCAACCCUGACCGAGCAACGCCGCGUGAGUGAAGAAGGUUUUCGGAUCGUAAAGCUCUGUUGUAAGUCAAGAACGAGUGUGAGAGUGGAAAGUUCACACUGUGACGGUAGCUUACCAGAAAGGGACGGCUAACUACGUGCCAGCAGCCGCGGUAAUACGUAGGUCCCGAGCGUUGUCCGGAUUUAUUGGGCGUAAAGCGAGCGCAGGCGGUUUGAUAAGUCUGAAGUUAAAGGCUGUGGCUCAACCAUAGUUCGCUUUGGAAACUGUCAAACUUGAGUGCAGAAGGGGAGAGUGGAAUUCCAUGUGUAGCGGUGAAAUGCGUAGAUAUAUGGAGGAACACCGGUGGCGAAAGCGGCUCUCUGGUCUGUAACUGACGCUGAGGCUCGAAAGCGUGGGGAGCGAACAGGAUUAGAUACCCUGGUAGUCCACGCCGUAAACGAUGAGUGCUAGGUGUUGGAUCCUUUCCGGGAUUCAGUGCCGCAGCUAACGCAUUAAGCACUCCGCCUGGGGAGUACNACCGCAAGGNU